This 4081-nucleotide long non-coding RNA is filed under the name Sorghum bicolor (sorghum). Its description in RNAcentral is "long non-coding RNA (SBIC_LNC010210)". Lineage: Eukaryota; Viridiplantae; Streptophyta; Magnoliopsida; Poales; Poaceae. The record is from RNAcentral.
GGGUGCUUGUCGUGUUCAGUGGGUGCUGUAGCAAUGGAAAAGGCACAGCCUUGGUCGGCAACUGUUGGGUCUUCUUAACAUCAUUACCAAAAGUAGACCGUUUUCUAAUUCUAGUAACAGUGCCAAAAAUGCCAAACCAAUCCCUCAUACCACUUAAGCCAAGUUGUCAUCCCCAGCAUGACAUGAGAGACGCGGUAUUGAAAUAUGCAAUUGCUCUUCUAAAUAAAUAAUGAAUGAGAUCUGCAAGCGCACAGAUUAAUACCGAUGUAGCAUUUUAACCGGGAAGUAUUCCAGAUAUCGUUAUUUAUAUUUUUACCACUGGGAAGGGAUUAGCAAUCAUCAAUAUUGAUUACAGAAUAGAAUAUGAGAUUGAGUAUUUAUCAUUGCAUAUAUAAUUGAGAACAUUUAUCUAACUCUUUCAUACAGGGAUAAGUGUCACAUAAAGGAUAUAUAAAGUAAUGAAUAGUGACAAAGAUAAUUAAUCUGAUCAGCAUAACUUAGCCACAUAUAAAUAUGAUAAGCACCUCAAUUAGAUAUUCUAAAAAGUCAUUAGCAUGGAAUUAGAACGAACUACAAGAAUAUUUCCUAAGUUAUUCUCAACUAUACAGUCUAGCAUUAUCAUAGUUAGUGCAAGCAUACUUAGCAAUCAUUGUGAGACAAGACUACGCCCAUGCAUAGUGAUAUUAGCAAGGUAAAUGAGAAACAUAGCAAUCACUCCCCUGUAAUAAUAUUGCUCUGCCAGCCCAAUACAUGAGAGGGACUAUAUAAGAAUCAAUGAAGCUGUCACUAUCACGAACUACCCCACGAUCUGGCAUAUUGGGUACAAUCCCCGAAACAGAGUCCUGAUUGGACUCAGCAGGAGGGCGGGCUCCCAGGGCAACUGGGCGGGCGCCCAGUGCCUGGCCCCGUUCGGCCUCCGCUUCCUUCCCAUGGCUUCUAGAGUCUUCUAGAUGUAAGAUAAUUACGCGGCACGUUAAUAUCUCUAUGUAAUCCCGACGUGUGGGCCUUUCUUCCGUAUUUCCUGAUAACCCCCUAUAGAAAUAGACAAACACCAAAACUCAUGGAAUUCUGUUAGAUAAAACCCUAAGUCUAGAUGUUGAUUUCAUUUGGAUCCUUUUCUUUGUUUAUUUGAUAAUUAUAUUUGAUACUUAAGGACCGUCAACAAACUCUCCCAAGCUUACCUCUUGCUCGUCCCUGAGCAAGGAUAGACUCAGUGAUGGAUCAGAAGUUGCUGCAAUACUUUUAAAAAUUGACGGUACACAUGCUUUUAAAUAAGAUCUGAUCUCUGAGUUAGAGUAACCUGUCAAGACUUAAAACUUACUUACUUUACCUUUCACCAUGGGACUUGUAACUGUCACUUCUGUCUUAAGUAGUUAAAAUAUAGAACAAUCUAGUCAAGUGCCACGUCUCUUAUUCUUGAUCAGCUAUAGCUCUAGAGUCUUUGCAGAUUUUCAAAUAAAACUCAGAGAUUCCUUGUAUGACUCUCUCAAAUCUCUCUUUUGUGAUAUUUCUGGAUCCUAACCAAGGAAGUGAUGGUAUAUGCCUUCUCUCAUUGCCUUCUCUCUCACCCUACUCUAAUAAGGCUUUAAUAUCUGGAGCUCAUAGGUGGGAGAUAAAAUAUACAUACUUACAAGACAUUUAUUGCAUAGUCAAACCAUGGAUCCAAAGUAACAAGUCAAUAAGUCAAAUCAAGAUAUGCAUGUGUGGCGAAUGAAUGGUAUAUGGUGAUGAUGGUGAUAACAAUGGUGGAAGUCUAAUUCUACUUUUGCUCUUUUGAGGGGAUACAUACCUUCCUUGCGCUUUGAAAUUUUGUGAGGAGAAUGAGAUGCUCUGUAUUUUCUUUUUCUUUUCUCUCAGGUGGGUAUCUUGUACCCCUAAUUCUACUGUCGGACACUUGUCCAUUUUUACCUCUCGUCUCACUUUUUCUUCUCUUUCGAGGUUCCGGGCACUUGCCCCUUUUUAUUUCCUCGUAUACUUUUUUCUUUCUUCUUUUUUUUCAGAGCACUCAUCUCUUGAGAUAAUAUAGCAAGUGGUAGUAACAAGAUAACUUGAGCAUUUAUUUCACAAGAGAAAAACAGAAAUAUUUUUUGUUAUUCUCUCCCGGAUUAGGAGUAGAAUAUUUUUGGGUGAUUCUGGAGAUGGAAAUGGGUGGAUAUAUGUGGAUGGUACUUCCGGAGUAGAAGUAGCAUAUAUGAGUGAAUGUGCAAGUGAAUCUUGAUUUAACCACAUGACAAGCUCCUAAGGGUCUACACAGCUUGACCACACUCAAUGCUCAUAAGCAGUAAAUAGUAAAUGUGUGGCUCAAAGUCUAGCAAGCAUGUAUAUAUUACUGUGGUAGGAAUUUAAACUCUCAUCAUAUAGGAACUCAUCAUGCAAUAUUUUAAAGAUUUUUUAAAGAUAAAAUUCUCCAGAAUUCUAGCAUCUCUAGGAACAGAUAAACAGCAGCUCAACCUUCCCAUAUCAUAUCCGUUAACAACUUAGACUUCAGAUCAAGUUUUCUUCCCACAAGUUUAGGUUUAGGGCAAUCUUUAAAUUAUAAUAGUUAUGUCUAAACUUGAGAGAGAACUUAAAAUUUUCAAAUUAGGCAGAGCAAUUAUUCAUCAUAUCCAUGCUAGAGUUUUAUUUAGAUACAGAUUAGCAAAGCCACUUUAUUUAUUUAUUAAACACACUAAGCAAAAGAUAUAUAUAUAAGCACAAGAUCUUUAUUUGUUUUUUCAUAAUUAUGUAUAUAUAGUAUAAGUAUAAAGAUAGAUAGAAAUACUUAUCGAGAUGAAUGGGGGUGCUCUCCCCCAAGCUGGAUUUUGACGUAAUUUCUCUUGAUGUAGCUAGCAAGUGGCAGAGGUGUAUUUGAAAGUUAGCAGCAUUCUGACAGCGAUUAGAAUGUCCUCUGUCUACUAGUCUUCUUGAUUCUUUGAUUCUGUGGAGCUCAAAUAGACAACAAAACUUUGUGGAACUGAUUAAGUGUUAGCAAAAAUAUCUAGCCUUUAUCAUGUUGAGACUCCUUAAUAAAUAUUACUCCUUAUUUUUAUAUUUUCAUUUUUAUAUAGCAGAAAAAUAUUUAUUUUAUUUUUAUGCCACCACAGUGAAUGUACUUAUGGGUUUUAUGCCACUCGUCUACUCACAUGAGGCUUACUGUUUUUCAACAAUUUUAUUUUGUUUUUAGGAUAGUAUAAAUAUAACUAAUUAAGUAAACUAUUUUAAAUAAUUGAAAGAGAAAGGAUAACUACCAAAUUUACCUCUUGGCAAGGCGUUCGGUGUUUUUAAGUCCUCCGAACGGGACUCUUCUCUUUCUCAAUUGUCCUGGGAUUCGUUGGGUGUCGGAGUCGGUACUUCCGACAGCGCCUCUUCUUCAUGUAUGGUUAUCUUCUCUUUCCACACCUGACUUGGUGCUACGGUCUCCUCAGGAUAGUUCUGUUUAAACUCUACGUCUUCUGACCUUACCACUUCUCCUUUGUAGCCUGCCCAUCCGUCCUUGAUGAUUUGCCUCCUCUGGUUGCGGUUGCGUCGUUUUCUUACCUGCUUAGAUUAUUCAAAGAUGUAGUUAGGGUUAGUAAAAUAACGGCGUACCUUCUCUGAGGGGAAGUGCAUAUGGACUUCUCCGGUUCCAAUGUAGAUGAUUGCUUUAACGCUGCUGAGGAACGGUCUUCCAAGGAUGAUGGGUGGAUCGUAUUCGUCUUCUCCCAUGUCAAUAACCUGAAAGUCUGUGUAGACAAAAUGAUCGUCUAUUUUGACAGGGACAUCAGUUACUGUUCCUUUAACUUCUUGAAAUGUCUGAUCUGCCAUCUGGAGCUGAAUGUAUGUUGGUUUUAGGGGCAUGGUUCCGAACAAGAGCCGAUAGGUGACUGCGUGUCGACGAAAGCUGGUCGGCAGUCUACCUUGGGGUAUACCCACGGUAGUAGUUUAUCGGUAGACGGUGCGCAAACUACGAACUCGAUGGUGACGCAAGACACGGACAAGCUUUUUAUCCAGGUUCGGCCGCCGAGUUGGCGUAAUACCUACGUCCUGCGUCUGGUUGUAUUGAUUUGUGUUGAGAGAAUAUGAUCUGUCCUAGGGGGGUCCCUUGCCCCUCCUUAUAUAGUCU